RNAcentral lists this unclassified non-coding RNA (233 nucleotides) under Hevea brasiliensis (rubber tree). Lineage: Eukaryota; Viridiplantae; Streptophyta; Magnoliopsida; Malpighiales; Euphorbiaceae. The record is from RNAcentral.
AGGCUCGCUAGCUUGGGCUCUCUUCUCCCGAGUAGAGUGUAAUUUUUCACUUGAUUAUGCAGCAUUAGGGAUAACAUUGAUCGAAUAUGCGGUUAAAUAACUAGGAUUGUAAUAUUCCAUCCUACCUAACCUGUCUUCAGGACCUACCUCUGACAUCACCUUUUCUUAGAAAAACAAUAAACAAUGACUUUCAACUAUUUGUAACAAAUUUCAAUAAUUGUCCCUAAACUUAU